AAGCGAAGCCCGAUUGAUAGCAAAUCGUUUCAACAACAGAGAAUUUGACGCUGGACAAGUCUGGUAUCUGGUCAAUACUGAGCAUGCCGGUGACGAAAACUCUCCCCCGUCCUCGUUACCGGCAGCAGGCAAUUCGGCAGCAUGGGUGUUGCCUGUAUCACUCCUAAUGGUCUUGACCCGGAUUCGUCCCCCUGAAUUCGG
Molecule: small RNA, 201 nt
Filed under: Halopseudomonas yangmingensis
Lineage: Bacteria; Pseudomonadati; Pseudomonadota; Gammaproteobacteria; Pseudomonadales; Pseudomonadaceae
Description: Pseudomonas yangmingensis Pseudomonas sRNA P16
Rfam family: RgsA sRNA
About the family: P16 sRNA appears to be conserved across several Pseudomonas species and Azotobacter vinelandii. In these species it is consistently located downstream of a predicted TatD deoxyribonuclease gene.
Source: RNAcentral